CCUGGCACCACUGGCCGGCCCCGUGUAAGGUUGGCUGGCCCUUAUAUAUCACCGUCGUCAUGGCUGCGCUAAGAGUAUCAUCUUCUCGCUUGUCUACUACCUUUAGGGGUGUUCUGCCUAACCAAGCAAUAGGCAUAUCAACGUCCUCAGCCGUGAAAACGAAAGUAGGAAAGGUGAAGUACCAAAAGACCAGCAAAUCAGGAGUGAGGAAGGAAUCUGACACCUUCGGGGAGUUAGAGGUGCCCAACAGUAAAUAUUAUGGAGCACAAACUGUUCGCUCCGUCAUGAACUUCCCCAUCGGUGGCGAGACAGAACGUAUGCCAUUGCCAGUGAUCAAGGCCUUUGGAGUGUUGAAGAAGGCUGCUGCAGAGGUGAACAAGGAAUUUGGUCUUGAUGCAACUGUUGCUGACACGAUUUCCAAGGCAGCAGAUGAAGUCAUCAGUGGUGAGCUGUAUGAGGACCACUUCCCUCUUGUCAUCUGGCAAACGGGUUCUGGAACACAGUCAAAUAUGAACACCAAUGAAGUGAUUGCCAACCGUGCCAUUGAACUUCUGGGUGGAACACUGGGCUCCAAAUCCCCCGUUCACCCUAAUGAUCAUGUCAACAAGAGUCAGAGCUCAAAUGACACAUACCCCACUGCAAUGCACAUUGCAACUGCUGUUGAAAUUCACAAUACACUUCUGCCUGGCCUGGAGGCCCUACACAACGCUUUAGAUGGCAAAGCCAAAGAGUACGCGGAUAUCAUCAAGAUCGGCCGCACUCACACACAGGACGCCACGCCCCUGACCCUCGGCCAAGAGUUUGGAGGUUAUGCUCAACAGAUAGAGUUUGGCAUCGAACGGGUCAAGGUUUGUCUCCCUCGUGUGUACAUGCUGGCAGCGGGUGGCACGGCUGUAGGUACAGGUCUCAACACCAGGAUCGGUUUUGCUGAGAAAAUUGCUGCCAAGGUAUCAGAACUUACUGGCCUGCCUUUUGUGACUGCCCCUAACAAAUUUGAAGCCUUGGCAGCUCACGAUGCCAUGGUUGAGGUCUCUGGUGCACUGAAUGUGUUGGCUUGUUCCAUCAUGAAAAUUGCCAAUGAUAUCAGGUUCCUUGCCUCAGGUCCUCGAUGUGGCCUGGGAGAGAUCUCACUCCCAGAGAAUGAACCUGGCUCCUCCAUCAUGCCUGGUAAGGUGAACCCAACUCAGUGUGAGGCGAUCACUAUGGUUGCAGCCCAGGUGAUGGGGAACCACGUUGCCGUCACUGUCGGUGGCUCCAACGGUCACUUUGAAUUGAAUGUCUUCAAGCCCAUGAUGGUUGCCAAUGUCCUAAGGUCCAUUCGGCUCAUUGGGGACAGUUGUCAUGCCUUUGUUAACAACUGUGUAGUGGGCAUUGAGGCUAACCGUGAGCAGAUCAACAAGCUUCUGCAUGAAAGUCUUAUGCUUGUCACUGCCCUCAACCCACAUAUUGGAUACGACAAGGCAGCUAAAAUUGCCAAGACAGCUCACAAGGAAGGAGCGACGCUGAAAGAAACUGCACUUAAGCUUGGGUAUUUGACUGAAGAAGAAUUCGAUAAAUGGGUGCGACCAGAAGACAUGCUUGGACCCAAGUAAAAUUAAAUGCCAGAACCUCUGAAAUUUUGUGGAAAAUGUUAUGGUGGUGGUGGCGGCGUUGGCCUUCCAACUCUUGAGACUAAGUGACGGCCCUAAUAACAGUAGUCCUCUCCAGCCUCGGACAGGACACAUGAUGACUUUGCUUCUAACGUGGACUUGGUUAUGAUGCACACAGUAGGAAAAUUGGCUGACUAGGUUGUGGUGUUUCUCAUUACUGUAGAUUUUGUAUUAAAACCUGAAAAUUACUCUAUUAGCAACAAUCAUCUCACAUAUUAGGAAACUAUUAAAUACAAUGUUUUGGGCAUAGAGAAAGGUACAGUAGCUAAAACAACUAUCUGUGCAGGUGGGGGUCGAUAUGCUCCGAAAUUUUACGUGCGACUAGUGACGGCCCUCAUAUACCAAAAUUUAUCGUCCAUGGUCUCAUAUUGUUUCCCACAAAGUAUGCACAGAUAGUUGUUUUAGCUACUGUACAGUACAUGAUUUGUACUAAUGAAUGUACCUCCAACAAAAAUGUAAUUUUUAAUGAUAAUGAUGGUUUUGUAGAUUUGAUAAAUGUAUCUUUAUUUUCUUAAUAUGUACAAAAUAAUGUUUAUGUAGGAACAGAUGUUACAUUUUUUAUCACCUUUAUAUGUAAAAGCUUCUGUUGACUUGCUAAAAAUAAACUUUGUAUAUAGUAAAUAUUAAAGCCCAAAAAAGAAACUUUGGACCCAUCUGUAUUUGUUUAAUAAAUUAUAUUGAAAACA
RNAcentral lists this unclassified non-coding RNA (2335 nucleotides) under Homarus americanus (American lobster). Its description in RNAcentral is "fumarate hydratase, mitochondrial-like, transcript variant X6". The record is from RNAcentral. Lineage: Eukaryota; Metazoa; Arthropoda; Malacostraca; Decapoda; Nephropidae.